CAGCCGCCGCGGUAAUACGUAGGGUGCGAGCGUUAAUCGGAUUUACUGGGCGUAAAGCGUGCGCAGGCGGCCCGUUAAGACAGGUGUGAAAUCCCUGGGCUCAACCUAGGAAUUGCGCUUGUGACUGGCGGGCUCGAGUACGGUAGAGGGGGGUGGAAUUCCUGGUGUAGCAGUGAAAUGCGUAGAGAUCAGGAGGAACACCGAUGGCGAAGGCAGCCCCCUGGGCCUGUACUGACGCUCAUGCACGAAAGCGUGGGGAGCAAACAGGAUUAGAUACCCUGGUAGUCCACGCCCUAAACGAUGGGUACUAGCCGUUUGGUGCGCGAUAGCGCUGAGUGGCGAAGCUAACGCGUGAAGUACACCGCCUGGGGAGUACGGCCGCAAGGUUGAAACUUAAAGGAAUUGGCGGG
RNAcentral lists this ribosomal RNA (410 nucleotides) under uncultured microorganism. RNAcentral's name for it is "bacterial SSU rRNA". It matches the Rfam family "Bacterial small subunit ribosomal RNA", at positions 509 to 917 of the family's 1533-position model. The record is from RNAcentral.